UACAGAGGUCUCAAGCGUUGUUCGGAUUCAUUGGGCGUAAAGGGUGCGUAGGCGGCGCGGUAAGUCGGGUGUGAAAUUUCGAGGCUUAACUUCGAAACUGCAUUCGAUACUGCCGUGCUAGAGGACUGGAGAGGAGACUGGAAUUUACGGUGUAGCGGUGAAAUGCGUAGAUAUCGGGAAGAACACCCGUGGCUAAGGCGGCUCUCUAGUACGGUACUGACGCUGAGACGCGAAAGCGUGGGGAGCGAACAGG
RNAcentral lists this ribosomal RNA (253 nucleotides) under uncultured bacterium. RNAcentral's name for it is "partial 16S ribosomal RNA". It matches the Rfam family "Bacterial small subunit ribosomal RNA", at positions 524 to 776 of the family's 1533-position model. The record is from RNAcentral.